This 97-nucleotide transfer RNA is filed under the name Chloroflexota bacterium. RNAcentral describes it as "tRNA-Sec". It matches the Rfam family "Selenocysteine transfer RNA". Lineage: Bacteria; Bacillati; Chloroflexota. The record is from RNAcentral.
GGGAGCGGAGGGGUCCCGGUGGGUCCCCCGGUCUUCAAAACCGGUGGCGCCACGCCCCGCGUGACGCGGUGGGUUCGACUCCCAUGCGCUCCCGCCA